GAGUUUGAUCAUGGCUCAGGAUGAACGCCGGCGGUGUGCCUAAUACAUGCAAGUCGAGCGCACUGGCCCAACUGAUAUGACGUGCUUGCACUGAAUUGACGUUGGAUUACCAGUGAGCGGCGGACGGGUGAGUAACACGUAGGUAACCUGCCCCGGAGCGGGGGAUAACAUUUGGAAACAGAUGCUAAUACCGCAUAACAACAAAAGCCACAUGGCUUUUGUUUGAAAGAUGGCUUUGGCUAUCACUCUGGGAUGGACCUGCGGUGCAUUAGCUAGUUGGUAAGGUAACGGCUUACCAAGGCGAUGAUGCAUAGCCGAGUUGAGAGACUGAUCGGCCACAAUGGAACUGAGACACGGUCCAUACUCCUACGGGAGCAGCAGUAGGAAUCUUCCACAAUGGGCGCAAGCCUGAUGGAGCAACACCGCGUGAGUGAAG
Molecule: ribosomal RNA, 436 nt
Filed under: uncultured bacterium
Lineage: Bacteria
Description: bacterial SSU rRNA
Rfam family: Bacterial small subunit ribosomal RNA
Source: RNAcentral